AGAGUUUGAUCCUGGCUCAGGACGAACGCUGGCGGCGUGCUUAACACAUGCAAGUCGAACGGUGACGAGGAGCUUGCUCCUCUGAUCAGUGGCGAACGGGUGAGUAACACGUGAGCAACCUGCCCCAGACUCUGGGAUAACAGUUGGAAACAGCUGCUAAUACCGGAUACGAGACGGAGAGGCAUCUCUACCGUCUGGAAAGUUUUUCGGUCUGGGAUGGACUCGCGGCCUAUCAGCUAGUUGGUGAGGUAAUGGCUCACCAAGGCGACGACGGGUAGCCGGCCUGAGAGGGCGACCGGCCACACUGGGACUGAGACACGGCCCAGACUCCUACGGGAGGCAGCAGUGGGGAAUAUUGCACAAUGGGCGAAAGCCUGAUGCAGCGACGCCGCGUGAGGGAUGACGGCCUUCGGGUUGUAAACCUCUUUCAGCAGGGAAGAAGCGAAAGUGACGGUACCUGCAGAAGAAGCACCGGCUAACUACGUGCCAGCAGCCGCGGUAAUACGUAGGGUGCGAGCGUUGUCCGAAUUAUUGGGCGUAAAGAGCUUGUAGGCGGUUUGUCGCGUCUGCAGUGAAAAUCCGAGGCUCAACCUCGGACUUGCUGUGGGUACGGGCAGACUAGAGUAUGGUAGGGGAGACCGGAAUUCCUGGUGUAGCGGUGGAAUGCGCAGAUAUCAGGAGGAACACCGAUGGCGAAGGCAGGUCUCUGGGCCAUAACUGACGCUGAGAAGCGAAAGCAUGGGGAGCGAACAGGAUUAGAUACCCUGGUAGUCCAUGCCGUAAACGUUGGGCGCUAGGUGUGGGGCUCAUUCCACGAGCUCCGUGCCGCAGCUAACGCAUUAAGCGCCCCGCCUGGGGAGUACGGCCGCAAGGCUAAAACUCAAAGGAAUUGACGGGGGCCCGCACAAGCGGCGGAGCAUGCGGAUUAAUUCGAUGCAACGCGAAGAACCUUACCAAGGCUUGACAUAUACCGGAAACAUCCAGAGAUGGGUGCCCCGCAAGGUCGGUAUACAGGUGGUGCAUGGUUGUCGUCAGCUCGCGUCGUGAGAUGUUGGGUUAAGUCCCGCAACGAGCGCAACCCUCGUUCUAUGUUGCCAGCGCGUAAUGGCGGGGACUCAUAGGAGACUGCCGGGGUCAACUCGGAGGAAGGUGGGGAUGACGUCAAAUCAUCAUGCCCCUUAUGUCUUGGGCUUCACGCAUGCUACAAUGGCCGGUACAAAGGGCUGCGAUACCGCGAGGUGGAGCGAAUCCCAAAAAAACCGGUCUCAGUUCGGAUUGGGGUCUGCAACUCGACCCCAUGAAGUCGGAGUCGCUAGUAAUCGCAGAUCAGCAACGCUGCGGUGAAUACGUUCCCGGGCCUUGUACACACCGCCCGUCAAGUCACGAAAGUCGGUAACACCCGAAGCCGGUGGCCCAACCCUUGUGGAGGGAGCCGUCGAAGGUGGGACUGGCGAUUGGGACUAAGUCGUAACAAGGUA
Molecule: ribosomal RNA, 1478 nt
Filed under: metagenome
Description: bacterial SSU rRNA
Rfam family: Bacterial small subunit ribosomal RNA
Source: RNAcentral